RNAcentral lists this ribosomal RNA (652 nucleotides) under Sarcocystis hjorti. RNAcentral describes it as "SSU rRNA". It matches the Rfam family "Eukaryotic small subunit ribosomal RNA", at positions 455 to 1077 of the family's 1831-position model. Lineage: Eukaryota; Apicomplexa; Conoidasida; Eucoccidiorida; Sarcocystidae. The record is from RNAcentral.
CUCAGGGAGGUAGUGACAAGAAAUAACAACACUGGAAAUUUUAUUUCUAGUGAUUGGAAUGAUGGGAAUUUAAACCCCUUUCAGAGUAACAAUUGGAGGGCAAGUCUGGUGCCAGCAGCCGCGGUAAUUCCAGCUCCAAUAGCGUAUAUUAAAGUUGUUGCAGUUAAAAAGCUCGUAGUUGGAUGUCUGCUGGAAGCAAUCAGUCCGCCCUAUUUGUAGGGUGUGCACUUGAUGAAUUCUGGCAUCUAUGUCCUAAUGUGAUAGGUACGGCGGUGUAUAUGGGUUAAUCCUAUAUACCCGUUUGUAUAUUAUAUUGGGAUAAUACCGUUACUUUGAGAAAAUUAGAGUGUUUGAAGCAGGCUAAUUGCCUUGAAUACUGCAGCAUGGAAUAACAAUAUAGGAUUUCGGUUCUAUUUUGUUGGUUUCUAGGACUGAAAUAAUGAUUAAUAGGGACAGUUGGGGGCAUUCGUAUUUAACUGUCAGAGGUGAAAUCCUUAGAUUUGUUAAAGACGAACUACUGCGAAAGCAUUUGCCAAAGAUGUUUUCAUUAAUCAAGAACGAAAGUUAGGGGCUCGAAGACGAUCAGAUACCGUCGUAGUCUUAACCAUAAACUAUGCCGACUAGAGAUAGGAAAAUGUCAUUUUUCUGACUU